Molecule: ribosomal RNA, 497 nt
Filed under: uncultured bacterium
Lineage: Bacteria
Description: partial 16S ribosomal RNA
Rfam family: Bacterial small subunit ribosomal RNA
Source: RNAcentral
GAUGAACGCUGGCGGCGUGCCUAAUACAUGCAAGUCGAGCGAACAGACGAGGAGCUUGCUCCUCUGACGUUAGCGGCGGACGGGUGAGUAACACGUGGAUAACCUACCUAUAAGACUGGGAUAACUUCGGGAAACCGGAGCUAAUACCGGAUAAUAUAUUGAACCGCAUGGUUCAAUAGUGAAAGACGGUUUUGCUGUCACUUAUAGAUGGAUCCGCGCCGCAUUAGCUAGUUGGUAAGGUAACGGCUUACCAAGGCAACGAUGCGUAGCCGACCUGAGAGCGUGAUCGGCCACACUGGAGCUGAGACGCGGUCCAGACUCCUACGGGAGGCAGCAGUAGGGAAUCUUCCGCAAUGGGCGAAAGCCUGACGGAGCAACGCCGCGUGAGUGAUGACGGUCUUCGGAUCGUAAAACUCUGUUAUUAGGGAAGAACAAAUGUGUAAGUAACUAUGCACGUCUUGACGGUACCUAAUCAGAAAGCCACGGCUAACUACGUG